AUGACUUUUUUGGAUGGACUUAUAGUUUUCAGAGAAAAACUGAGUGCGACCUCACCAGUGAUUUACGAUGAGAAGACAAGGUGCCUUAAUGGCAGAAUCAAGAGAGAAGUCAAGAUACUGAACUGCAACUUGAUUUCACUGCAGAAUGGAGCAAAUGGUUUCACUGCUCUGGUCAGCAGUUUCCUUCCAGAAGCUAUAAGUCUGCUCGGAGCGCACUCAUCCCCUGCUCAGUUACUCAUCCAGGGGAGCACUCUCUGUGCUCCCCGGAGCACAGCUGAGAAGGAUAGGUCUACUAGCUCACUCCUAGUCCAAAAUAGAGUUUGUGGAAUCCAGGCACUAAACUGUGGUUCUUUUACCAAUAAAUGAUUCCUUGCUCAAAC
RNAcentral lists this long non-coding RNA (380 nucleotides) under Mustela putorius furo (domestic ferret). Its description in RNAcentral is "lncRNA (ENSMPUG00000031740.1)". The record is from RNAcentral. Lineage: Eukaryota; Metazoa; Chordata; Mammalia; Carnivora; Mustelidae.